GACGAACGCUGGCGGCGUGCUUAACACAUGCAAGUCGAACGAAAAGAGGGAAAGAUCUUGCUCUUUACGGAAUUGAGUGGCAAACGGGUGAGUAACACGUAAACAACCUGCCUGCAGGAGGGGGACAACAGACGGAAACGACUGCUAAUACCGAAUAAGUUACAAGAGCGGCAUGGCCCAUGGAAGAAAAGGUGGCCUCUACCUGUGAGCUAUCGCCUGAAGAGGGGUUUGCGGCUGAUGAGCUGGUUGGAGGGGGAACGGCCCAACAAGGCGACGAUCAGUAGGCGGUCUGAGAGGAUGGACGGCCACACUGGAACUGAGACACGGUCCAGACUCCUACGGGAGGCAGCAGUGGGGAAUCUUCCGCCAUGGGCGAAAGCCUUAACGGGCAAAGCCGCGUGAGUGAUGACGGCUUUCGGGUUCUAAAACUUUGUGAUCCGGGAAGAAAAGGAAGAGUGAGAAGCAAUACAUGUAUUGACGGUACCGGAAAAGAAAGCCACGGCUAACUACGUG
RNAcentral lists this ribosomal RNA (513 nucleotides) under uncultured bacterium. RNAcentral describes it as "partial 16S ribosomal RNA". It matches the Rfam family "Bacterial small subunit ribosomal RNA", at positions 28 to 507 of the family's 1533-position model. The record is from RNAcentral.